RNAcentral lists this long non-coding RNA (749 nucleotides) under Mus caroli (Ryukyu mouse). RNAcentral's name for it is "RIKEN cDNA 4930439A04 gene (MGP_CAROLIEiJ_G0002315.1)". The record is from RNAcentral. Lineage: Eukaryota; Metazoa; Chordata; Mammalia; Rodentia; Muridae.
ACACAGGACAAGAGCAGGAAGAAGGCAGCCCAAGGAUAACAAAAUGUAAGAGCUGACAGACCAGAGAUACCUGUGGCACCUCUUGGAUUAACUUUUCCAGCUCAGUGGAUGGUACCACAGCUUUCCAGAACAAGGCAAAAAAUGUGGAGACCUCCCUUCCUGUACCAGCUCCCACUUCCCAACAAUCUGACAGUCCUUACAGGACCUUCUACGACCAGAUCCUUCUCACCGAGGCUCACUCCUUGGUCUCCACUACAGCUGAAGAGGUUACAAGGAAUUCUGGCAUAUUACCAUCCUUGGCCUAGGAGCCCACCAAAGGAAUGUGUGGACCAGCAUUUGCUUUCAGACUUGCUCCUGCUGGCCUCCUGCCACUGCCUGAUGUCAGUGCUGCAAUGCUCUGUCAAUAGGGCAAGCCAUGGCAGGGCAAGUCCCCAUCGGCUCCCUUCCGAAGGAGGCUAGAGAAGCAGAGUGGUCAGACGUCUGAGAAGAGCCGGUGUCGUGAACCUUUUCUGCCCUGCCUUCUAGGAAUUCUAGCCACCUUCUGGUGCAGCUUGCCCCAGACAUCCAGACAUGGAGAGCCUUUGGUCUGAACUGUUCUCCACCUCAGACAACAGGCCUUCUGGGCAACACAAGGCACUCUGUACAACCCCAUUGGGAAGUCAGUGGCUUUUGCACCUUUGUGAAGUUGAAUCCUGCCUGGGAAGACAAGAACACAGACUGAGCAACCCCAACCUGGAUAUCUGACAUUG